AACAAACGCUGGCGGCGUGUCUUAAGCAUGCAAGUCGGGCGGCAAGGGCAGCAAUGCCCCUAGAGCGGCGGACUGGUGAGUAACGCGUGGGUGAUCUACCAUUAGGGCAUGGGGAUAGCCAUUAGAAAUAGUGGGUAAUACCGAAUACGCUUGCACAGGUGAAGCUGUGUAAGGAAAGGUGCUACGGCAUCGGCCUAAAGAUGAGCCUGCGUCCCAUUAGCUAGUUGGUGAGGUAAGAGCCCACCAAGGCGAUGAUGGGUAGCCGGCCUGAGAGGGUGUACGGCCACACUGGGACUGAGAUACGGCCCAGACUCCUACGGGAGGCAGCAGCUAAGAAUAUUCCGCAAUGGACGAAAGUCUGACGGAGCGACGCCGCGUGGAUGAAGAAGGCCGAAAGGUUGUAAAAUCCUUUUGCUGGGGAAGAAUAAGUCUGGGAGGGAAUGCCCGGAUGAUGACAUGAACCGGCGAAUAAGCCCCGGCCAACUACGUGCCAGCAGCCGCGGUAACACGUAGGGGGCGAGCGUUGUUCGGAAUUACUGGGCGUAAAGGGCAUGUAGGCGGUUUUGUAAGCUUGGCGUGAAAGUCCACGGCUCAACUGUGGGAUAGCGUUGAGAACUGCGAAGCUUGAGUUAUGGAGAGGGAGCUAGAAUUCCUGGUGUAGGGGUGGAAUCUGUAGAGAUCAGGAAGAAUACCAAUGGCGAAGGCAAGCUCCUGGCCGAUGACUGACGCUGAGGUGCGAAAGUGUGGGGAUCAAACAGGAUUAGAUA
RNAcentral lists this ribosomal RNA (767 nucleotides) under uncultured bacterium. RNAcentral's name for it is "bacterial SSU rRNA". It matches the Rfam family "Bacterial small subunit ribosomal RNA", at positions 28 to 784 of the family's 1533-position model. The record is from RNAcentral.